Molecule: non-coding RNA, 27 nt
Filed under: Bombyx mori (domestic silkworm)
Lineage: Eukaryota; Metazoa; Arthropoda; Insecta; Lepidoptera; Bombycidae
Source: RNAcentral
UACAGAGAGAAACUCAACAAUAUCACC